AUGGUUUUCAAAGACGAAAGCAGUGAGGACACGUCCAGCCUGCCGUACAUGCACUCGACCUCAUCCACGAACGGGCUUAACCAGGUCCCUUUCAGCGUUGAAGAUCCAGAUUACCAGGGGCUUGAGCUGGAAACGAUGUCGCCAUGUGAGAAGCACGGCAAGGCAUCUGAGAGGCUUGUCGCAUUUGAAGGAACAGACACAGGGAGAAGGUUCCUAGAAGGGCAGAAUUGUGGGUUUGUUGAAUGGGUUGAUCACCAGUGGCCCCCAACAAUGCAAAAUGCAUUGUUGAAGCUGUGGGCCAUGGUUUAA
Molecule: ribosomal RNA, 309 nt
Filed under: Triticum aestivum (bread wheat)
Lineage: Eukaryota; Viridiplantae; Streptophyta; Magnoliopsida; Poales; Poaceae
Description: partial small subunit ribosomal RNA
Source: RNAcentral